CAGAGGUGCGAGCGUUAAUCGGAUUACUGGGCGUAAAGCGUGCGUAGGCGGCUUUAAGUCGGAUGUGAAAUCCCCGAGCUUAACUUGGGAAUUGCAUUCGAUACUGGGAAGCUAGAGUAUGGGAGAGGAUGGUAGAAUUCCAGGUGUAGCGGUGAAAUGCAUAGAGAUCUGGAGGAAUACCGAUGGCGAAGGCAGCCAUCUGGCCUAAUACUGACGCUGAGGUACGAAGCAUGGGAGCAAACAGGAUU
Molecule: ribosomal RNA, 248 nt
Filed under: uncultured bacterium
Lineage: Bacteria
Description: partial 16S ribosomal RNA
Rfam family: Bacterial small subunit ribosomal RNA
Source: RNAcentral